UAUAUCCCAUCAUCUUUGUAUUAGCAGCCAAAGUGAAAGGCUCUAGACUGUAUUAAAAAAAAAAAAAAGUAAUAAAGCUUCAUCUUUUUUCAUUUUGGGACUCAAAGCAAAAGCUCCGAACAUUCUGUUUACCAUUUUUAUUACACAAUAUUGGCAUUCUUAAAGUCUGGAAUGAAACCUUUUUUCGUUUUUUUUUUUUAUUCAUUAAAGUGCUCAGUAUCAAUGGACUGUUUCUUACUUUCCAUGUAUUACGACAAAACAUUAAGCCGAGGAUAUCUGUUGCCAUUGUUAAAGCACUGCGUUCUUGUGUGACUGGAAAUCCACUCUCUUCAUUGCUCCCUUUUGUACGCCCUCCAUGAAGCCAACUGGCUUCAGCUGUUGACAGAUAACAAGUGAGAACAAGAAGAGGUGUUAAAAAAAACUGCCAGGAAAGUCUCCAAGCAGUGCUCAGUGUGAGCAGACCUCUCUCGUUAGCCACCCCAGGAGAAAGCUCUGGCCAAAGCAACACGCCUCCGUCUCAGAUGCCUGUGCUGUCCUGUGAGACUCCUCGUUCUUCUGGGCUCUGCUGGUCUGUUGAGUCCAGCUCUGUCUGAUAGAACUGCUGCUUUGCUUCUGAUUCCUGUUGUUGCCUGCCGCAUUGUGAGUUCUACACACCACGCAGCAAAAGAAGCAAUGACAAAUCUGAGAGCUGUGGAGUGAAACUGUGCUAGAAUUUGCUAAUGGGAGAUGGAGGAAGACGAGCAUAGUGAAACAUGGCCAGGCCCAGAGAAUGCAUGUGAGGUGGCUUGAAGAAAUGUAUCAGACCAAGGGAAUAAGAAGGUGAAAUCCUGAGAAUUAUGUCCCAGCUGUGACAUGGCAGACCAGAGGUGAUGCUUUAGAAGCACAGGGUGUAUGCAUUCUUAUAUUCCUUUGCCCUCUUUGUAUCUGAACUGACCCAUCUGCUUCCACUCCCCCAGGAAGCCAACAGCAGUUUCAAAACAUCCCUAGGAGAUUCCAGGAGUGUAGAACAAAGGACAUACUCAAAAACUCAGUGAAGGUCACUUGUGAUUUUGAAGCAAGACUGCUGUAGGUAAAUGGCUCUUGGAGAGGCAGGUAAUUCGGCAUCAGCAGGACUGGUUGCCCAUGCAGCUUGGGAGCUGAUGGCUUGUUCUAUGCAAAGUAAAUGAGCCUCAUACUAAUUUGUCAUCAGCCCAUAAAAAUGUGAACUCUACUGUGACCAAACCAGAUUAGUGCUGUACUCAAUGGCAGCAGUGCUCAGAGCAAAUAAGGCCAAAUCAGGUCAUAAAACCCUUUAACUUGUUUUAAAGUGUCCCUCGUAGUGCAUUGGAUGAAAUCUGGCUUUCAACAUGGUUUUGCUACUGUCACAACCCAGCAGAGAUGCCCUUUAGCUACAGUUGGAUUUAACGCUGACAUCAAUCUCUGUUGACAGAUCCCAUUGCUGCUGUGUGGGUCCAUCAGGCUCAGCAUAGCUUUUCACUGGCAUCAGCAAUCAUGAGAUUUGCCCCAGGAAUGUCCAGGAACCAGCUGCACACCCAAGUCAACAAAGCCACUGCUUCUGCCAGCGCUAAACAGAGGUACAGGAAGGUGUAAAUCCUGAGCCUAAGUGUUCAAAGGGGUUGCCUCAACUACUCCACAAACCUAUAGGCAUCCACAGAAAAAUCACCUUUGUGUGCCUGAGCAACUUGUCUCUGUAUGUUGCUUUCCUCUCCUGUCAGUUCUGCCAGUUAUACUGAGUGUAAAAGCCUGGUUCCAGUUAUCUGUCCCACAUUUAGCAACCAUGCUCUCAUUGCUCUUGAGCUGCAGCAGAGAGGACGGGACCAAGUUGGUCGAAGAAUCUCUAGCUCCUCUGUAGCUCAGCACUCUCUAGGUAAAAUACUGAACAAAAAAAGAAGGGGAGCCUGCCAGUGAAGAAGUCCAAACAGAGAAGGCAGUGGAUAUUCUACUCUUUCCAAGUCAUUACUUCACUCAGCACAGCCUGUUAUUUGGAGAGCCCAUGGAAAGCUGUCCAGGCAGGGAAGCAUGCUGUUGCUGAGAGGUCUGCCUCUAUCCGUCAGUAAUGGGUGCUUGUGUGAGCAGAGCAUUUGCAAGGAAUUUUACAAGGCUGCAAAGUCCUGCCUGCUCUAAAAUUAAAGAUCUGAAUUCAGCAGAGCAAAUGGAUAUUACCUUGACUUGAAAGUGUUGAAAUUUCUGGAACUUGAGGUCUUGCUUGUAGUAUCUACUGAUGGAUGACAUCUAUUUCAAAGCAAAAAUUCACUCAUCCCUACCUGAAUGGGCUCCUCGGUCACGGGGAUCAUGACCUCUUAGGAGUGAUACUGAAGGAAGCUUACCAUGGGUUGGCUGUCUGCUCACAGCUUCUGCAAGACAGGUGCUCAGCUCUUUGCAGGGACAAAGUUGCUCCUGCUUGUUGCUGUUCUGGCACACCAACUCCAUAUAAAGACAAGAGAGGAGCUCCAAAGGUAUUACAGUAAAGGAGAUCAGUCUCUGAUCUUUCAUAUCUUCAGUAUAAAACAAGUCUGAAAUCUCCUGAGUAACGCUACUUAAUUUAACCCAAAAUCUAGUAACCAGUAGCUGCAACCCUUGUCCUCAUCUGAAAGAGAUUUGCCACUUACUGUAAUGAAGACAAAAAACAUCUUUUACUGCUUUCGUUGCCUGCAGUCCAACACAUUGUGAAGAGCUUGAUCAUAGAGCAGAAGCGUAUUUUCUAUUCCAUUUGCAUCAGUGAAAUAACUGUUCUUUCCUCGGAUUAAAGCACAGCACAGGAGGUCAAAGGUCAUGCUUUGACCUUUCGUUUGACUGGUCUCCAUAAAAGAACAUAACCAUCGAGCUGGAAAUCCCCUCCUCAACGUUUCUCGGUCCCCCGUGGGUCGCUGCGGCCGCCUCCUUCACGCAGGCGGGUGCCCGGUGCUGGCCAUGGUGCUGAAGCGCCUCUGCCGCCCUGCCAGCAUCCCAAACCUCCGCGGGAUGGCUUCUUCGGGAUUGCUUCUUGCGAUCAGCCUCUACAGGGACAAAGUGCAAAGGGAUGGUUACUACUGGACAGAAUUUAGAUAUCGCUCCGAGUUUCACCCUGUGGUAAUCAGGAGAUGGCUACAGCUACCCGAUACCACAGCGCGACUGGGAGCAAAGUGGAUUCAGAUGUCAGGGUCUGUUACACUCAGCACAAAGCUGCUCUGUGUAAAGAAUGCUGUAAAAUAAAACACUUAUAAAAUACUAUUUUGUGGUUUUGUUU
This is a long non-coding RNA of Gallus gallus (chicken), 3226 nucleotides long. The record is from Ensembl. Lineage: Eukaryota; Metazoa; Chordata; Aves; Galliformes; Phasianidae.